GGGCAUGCCUGUUUGAGUAUCAUGAACACCUCAACUCUUCAUGGUUUUCCAUGAUGAGCUUGGACUUUGGGGGUCUUGCUGGCCUGCGGUCGGCUCCUCUCAAAUGAAUCAGCUUGCCAGUGUUUGGUGGGCAUCACAGGUGUGAUAACUAUCUACGCUUGUGGUUUUCCACCAGGUAACCUUCAGCAGUGGAGGUUCGCUGGAGCUCACAGAUGUCUCUCCUCAGUGAGGACAGCCCUUUGAAUGUUUGAUCUCAAAUCAGGUAGGACUACCCGCUGAACUUAAGCAUAUCAAUAAGCGGAGG
This 304-nucleotide ribosomal RNA is filed under the name uncultured Tomentella. RNAcentral describes it as "eukaryotic LSU rRNA". The stretch from base 249 to 304 matches the Rfam family "Eukaryotic large subunit ribosomal RNA", at positions 1 to 56 of the family's 3401-position model. Lineage: Eukaryota; Fungi; Basidiomycota; Agaricomycetes; Thelephorales; Thelephoraceae. The record is from RNAcentral.